GAUGAAGAACGCAGCGAAAUGCGAUAAGUAAUGUGAAUUGCAGAAUUCAGUGAAUCAUCGAAUCUUUGAACGCACAUUGCGCCAGCCAGUAGUCUGGCGGGCAUGCCUGUUCGAGCGUCAUUUCAACCAUCAAGCCCCCGGCUUGUGUUGGGGACCUGCGGCUGCCGCAGGCCCUGAAAAGCAGUGGCGGGCUCGCUGUCACACCGAGCGUAGUAGCAUACAUCUCGCUCUGGGCGUGCUGCGGGUUCCGGCCGUUAAACCACCUUCAUAACCCAAGGUUGACCUCGGAUCAGGUAGGAAGACCCGCUGAACUUAAGCAUAUCAAUAAGCGGAGGA
RNAcentral lists this unclassified non-coding RNA (336 nucleotides) under soil metagenome. RNAcentral's name for it is "partial contains 5.8S ribosomal RNA, internal transcribed spacer 2, and large subunit ribosomal RNA". The stretch from base 1 to 120 matches the Rfam family "5.8S ribosomal RNA", at positions 35 to 154 of the family's 154-position model. The record is from RNAcentral.